CAGCCGCCGCGGUAAUACGGAGGGUGCAAGCGUUAUCCGGAUUUAUUGGGUUUAAAGGGUCCGUAGGCGGAUCUGUAAGUCAGUGGUGAAAUCUCACAGCUUAACUGUGAAACUGCCAUUGAUACUGCAGGUCUUGAGUAAAUUUGAAGUGGCUGGAAUAAGUAGUGUAGCGGUGAAAUGCAUAGAUAUUACUUAGAACACCAAUUGCGAAGGCAGGUCACUAAGAUUUAACUGACGCUGAUGGACGAAAGCGUGGGGAGCGAACAGGAUUAGAUACCCGCGUAGUCCCUGUCUCUUAUAU
This 301-nucleotide ribosomal RNA is filed under the name uncultured bacterium. RNAcentral's name for it is "partial 16S ribosomal RNA". It matches the Rfam family "Bacterial small subunit ribosomal RNA", at positions 509 to 809 of the family's 1533-position model. The record is from RNAcentral.